Molecule: long non-coding RNA, 1236 nt
Organism: Amphimedon queenslandica
Lineage: Eukaryota; Metazoa; Porifera; Demospongiae; Haplosclerida; Niphatidae
Exons: 7
Source: RefSeq, a predicted model, not a curated record
UACAUUUGUUGGGUUGUUAAGCUCAGAGGAGUAUUGUUGCUGUCAUGGUAUCCUCCUUCAGACCACCACUUACCUCUUGGAGCUGUUGCCAUGGUUACAGGCUUGAUAUUACUCAAUAUCCUCAUCUCCAAAGUUGUAUCCAAAUUCAGUGCAUGUCACUGCUCCACUUUUUGAAUAUUGUACAACUGGUCAGAGUAAGCAGGGUGUGGCUACAAGCUUGUUCACACGAUUGAAAAAUGUGAGUCCAGAGAACAGAAAGGUUCCUGUAUACAUACGUCACUCGUCUCUGAGGCUGCCAUUCCGUCCGGUCAAUCCUGUCAUUAUGGUAGGACCUGGGACUGGACUGGCUCCUUUUCGUGGAUUCAUACAAGACAGAUCAACUGCAAUUAAAGAAAUUCUGAGUAUUAUAUUUUGGAAGGACAUCAAACUGAGUUUUCUGUCUCUUGUUGUCUGCCUGGUUACGUUGCUCACCCUCUAUCUUGAUACACUGCUACACACUGUUGUUCUUGUGUUGCUGGCGGCCAUGAUUGUCUCUUAUAUUCAUUGUGACAAAGAUUGCCAUUGAUUCUUUCUAUAAUAGACAAAUAAAAAACCCUUUUAAAAUUAACAUGCACCCUUUAGUACUAUAUCCAGUCUCCCAGUACAUGCACACAAGCAUUCUCUGUCUCUCAAUACAGCCACAUUCUCUCAUCAUGUACUAAUUACUCUAUCAUGACAGGAUAUACUGAAGGAAACAAUGAAAAAGAUCUUAGCAGCAGAGGAGGCUGUUCAAAUUGAGAACCCUGGUCACGAACAUGUAUAUGCAAACAGUGUCAACUAUUACUCCUGUGAUGAACAAAAUGAUAACGAACAAAAUGGUAAUGAAAAAAAAUGGUUUAGAAGGCUAGGACCUUGAAAGUACAUGUACAUGUACUUGGACACCUACAGUAUUGCUUUGUUAUAGAUACUGAAGACCUUACUCUUUUAAUUGAGGGAAACCAAAUUUUAGAGAAGCCCUUCUCUGAGCACAUUAAUACAAGCAUCUUGAGCACUGAAGAUGACAAUAUGUUUCCUUUAUCUGUACAAGCAUAUUUUGAGACAAGCCAGGAAUGGGUUGUAAAUAAUAUUGAAAUGAGCAAUAAGAACUGAAUUAAAAAAUACAAAAAUAGGCACAUGACAAUGUUUUAAUUAUGUUUCAUCAUUAUUUUGUAAGUGAUUUUCAAUAAAAGUGUCAUAUUCACCAGUGAAAUCAAAUAA